This is a long non-coding RNA of Emys orbicularis (European pond turtle), 1239 nucleotides long. RefSeq lists it as uncharacterized. NCBI's taxonomy places the organism in Eukaryota, Metazoa, Chordata, Testudines, Emydidae. The transcript has 4 exons. The record is from RefSeq and is a predicted model, not a curated record.
CCUCCCUCCGUCGGUCUGUCCGGCCGGCCCCUUUGUCUGUCCACAGCCCCGCCCGGCCCAGCAGUGGAGCCGGUGAGCCCUCUGCCGAGGGAAGGACCCCUCUGCUCCUGGGCCAGGGAAUCAUGUCCCGUCGGAAACAGACCACUCCUAAUAAAGUGCAUUUGAACAGGAUCUUCUAUUUCUGCAAUAUCUGAUUCUAUCACCAUGUCUCAGAGGAGACCAUCAUAUGAACAUGCUGCCAGCUGGUGUGAAGCUAACAUACAGGCUCCGGUAUCCAUCUAGGGAGAGGUGCUCUGAUACCAAUUGAACUUCUUCACACACAACACGUUAAUGUAUGACCAGGUAUCUGAGCAGCUGUUUGACGUAGGCAUCACCAGGAGAAGCAAGUGGUGCCACAAGAAGAAAAAGGGACUGAAAGGCCUAUGCAACAUGACCCAGGACAAUAACAGUCUCUCCAGCUCAGGAUGGAAAACUGACCCCUUUUAUAAUGAGCGGCACCGAACUGUUGGGACUCACCCAUCCACCCAGCCUGCAGAGAGCCCAGGAGUGCCAUGCAGAGCACUUGUGACGGACAAGGAGCAUCAGCUCCAAGAACUGGGUGAACUGUCAGUAUGAGGAGUCAGAAUGGGAGACGACAGGCGUAUUACAGGGAUCUCUUCCUGGGGACGGAGAUAGUUUGGGAGGAGGAGGAAUUGGGCCACAGUGCCUUUACAGCCAUAUGGACAUGCCCGAACAGGGAUGGGCAGGUGCAUUAGCUCCCCGGUGAGCAAGUUUCAGGUCCUGGAAAAGGAAGUGCGGAGAAGACCUGUGUGAACAGGGACUCUGGCCCCUCCUUGAACUUGUACAAGUAUUUAAAGAGGCUCCUCUCAGAACCCGUGUAGGCUGAGCAGGACAGGGGACUUAUGUAAGGCUUUUGCCAGAGCGCGAGAGAUGUGAAUGGAGGAGGCAGGGCCCAGAGGGGCAGGGCUCAGGAAAAACUGCCUGCCAAGUUGGCACCAUCUGGUCUUGGCAGCCAUGCCUUCCCCUCCUGCCCAACACCACUGGGGCCCUGUACCACCACAGCCAUUCUCAGGCACCCCACUCUUUUACAAGACUGUGGAAAGGAGAACUGGCGCCCAAAAGCAAGGCACUAUCAGGAACCUCAGCAUGCUCGCUCUAGCCGGUUGUGGUGUAACUCUGGUGACUUGUUUUAGUAUUGCAGCAGACCUGCAGCCUUGUUUGUAUUUAAUAAAGUUGUGG